GACGAACGCUGGCGGCGUGCCUAAUACAUGCAAGUAGAACGCUGAAGGAGGAGCUUGCUUCUCUGGAUGAGUUGCGAACGGGUGAGUAACGCGUAGGUAACCUGCCUGGUAGCGGGGGAUAACUAUUGGAAACGAUAGCUAAUACCGCAUAAGAGUAGAUGUUGCAUGACAUUUGAUUAAAAGGUGCAAUUGCAUCACUACCAGAUGGACCUGCGUUGUAUUAGCUAGUUGGUGGGGUAACGGCUUACCAAGGCGACGAUACAUAGCCGACCUGAGAGGGUGAUCGGCCACACUGGGACUGAGACACGGCCCAGACUCCUACGGGAGGCAGCAGUAGGGAAUCUUCGGCAAUAGACGGAAGUCUGACCGAGCAACGCCGCGUGAGUGAAGAAGGUUUUCGGAUCGUAAAGCUCUGUUGUAAGAGAAGAACGAGUGUGAGAGUGGAAAGUUCACACUGUGACGGUAUCUUACCAGAAAGGGACGGCUAACUACGUG
Molecule: ribosomal RNA, 495 nt
Filed under: uncultured bacterium
Lineage: Bacteria
Description: partial 16S ribosomal RNA
Rfam family: Bacterial small subunit ribosomal RNA
Source: RNAcentral